UAUAGAAGACAUCUGAAGGAGAUUAAAGAUUCAUCGGUGAUGGAUGGGGAUGCGUCUGAUUAGCUUGUUGGCGGGGUAGCGGCCCACCAAGGCGACGAUCAGUAGGGGUUCUGAGAGGAAGGUCCCCCACAUUGGAACUGAGACACGGUCCAAACUCCUACGGGAGGCAGCAGUGAGGAAUAUUGGUCAAUGGGCGAGAGCCUGAACCAGCCAAGUAGCGUGCAGGAUGACGGCCCUAUGGGUUGUAAACUGCUUUCAUAGGGGAAUAAAGUGAGUCUCGUGAGACUUUUUGCAUGUACCCUAUGAAUAAGGACCGGCUAAUUCCGUGCCAGCAGCCGCGGUAAUACGGAAGGUCCGGGCGUUAUCCGGAUUUAUUGGGUUUAAAGGGAGCGUAGGCCGGAGAUUAAGCGUGUUGUGAAAUGUAGAUGCUCAGCGUCUGCACUGCAGCGCGAACUGGUUUCCUUGAGUACGCACAAAGUGGGCGGAAUUCGUGGUGUAGCGGUGAAAUGCUUAGAUAUCACGAAGAACUCCGAUUGCGAAGGCAGCUCACUGGAGCGCAACUGACGCUGAAGCUCGAAAGCGCGGGUAUCGAACAGGAUUAGAUACCCUGGUAGUCCGCGCGGUAAACGAUGGAUGCCCGCUGUUGGUCCGACUAGUUCAGCGGCCAGGCGAAAGCAUUAAGCAUCCCACCUGGGGAGUACGCCGGCAAGGGUGCAACUCAAAGGAAUCGACGC
Molecule: ribosomal RNA, 734 nt
Filed under: uncultured Bacteroidota bacterium
Lineage: Bacteria; Pseudomonadati; Bacteroidota
Description: bacterial SSU rRNA
Rfam family: Bacterial small subunit ribosomal RNA
Source: RNAcentral